UUUAGAGUGGCAGAGCAUAUGCGCUGGAUUUAAGCUCCAGAGAUGAGAUUUAUUUCUCCUUUAAAG
This 66-nucleotide transfer RNA is filed under the name Stylochus fafai. RNAcentral describes it as "tRNA-Leu". Lineage: Eukaryota; Metazoa; Platyhelminthes; Polycladida; Stylochidae. The record is from RNAcentral.